Molecule: ribosomal RNA, 460 nt
Filed under: uncultured bacterium
Lineage: Bacteria
Description: partial 16S ribosomal RNA
Rfam family: Bacterial small subunit ribosomal RNA
Source: RNAcentral
CCUACGGGAGGCUGCAGUGAGGAAUAUUGGUCAAUGGGCUUACGCCUGAACCAGCCAAGUCGCGUGAGGGAAGACUGCCCUAUGGGUUGUAAACCUCUUUUGUCCGGGAGCAAUUGGCGCUACGUGUAGCGUUAUCGAGAGUACCUGAAGAAAAAGCAUCGGCUAACUCCGUGCCAGCAGCCGCGGUAAUACGGAGGAUGCGAGCGUUAUCCGGAUUGAUUGGGGUAAAAGGGUGCGCAGGCGGAAUGCCAAGUCAGCGGGAACAUCGCGGGGCUCAACCUCGCUCCGCCGUUGAAACUGGCGUUCUUGAGUGGGCGAGAAGUAUGCGGAAUGCGUGGUGUAGCGGUGAAAUGCAUAGAUAUCACGCAGAACUCCGAUUGCGAAGGCAGCAUACCGGCGCCCAACUGACGCUGAAGCACGAAAGCGUGGGUAUCGAACAGGAUUAGAGACCCGGGUAGUC